RNAcentral lists this ribosomal RNA (927 nucleotides) under Triticum aestivum (bread wheat). RNAcentral describes it as "partial small subunit ribosomal RNA". Lineage: Eukaryota; Viridiplantae; Streptophyta; Magnoliopsida; Poales; Poaceae. The record is from RNAcentral.
AUGAGAUAUAAGGUACAUUACUUAAGCAAAAACGUAGUAAAACCAAUUUAUCCCCAUACGACAUCAUCCUUCCUGCCAAGUCCCCAGUUUACCUCCAUCUUAUCCUCUACCUUCAACUCGCGCCGCGGGGCCACCGCGCGCCGUCGGCGGCCGCGCACCGACAUCCAGUGCAAGAAUCGCGUCGACACGCUCAAGAAGAAGUACAAGGCCGAGCGCGCCCGCGGUGGGCCCUCCGCCUGGAACUUCUACGGCGAGCUCGACCGCCUUGUCGGCCCCACCCUCUCCGCCUCCGCCGCCACCAAGAAGCACCCCUCCUUCGGGCUGCCGGCCCCUCACUUCGCCCUGCCACUCCAUCCUUCCGCCGCAAGGAGGCACCCGUCGCCCUCGUCUUCGCCGUCCCCGCCUCCGCCCAUGGCUCUGCCGCUGUCCAACUACCGCCACGGGGUACCUCUCCCUGCCGCCGCGUUUAUCCAGCAGGCCGCCGCCGCCGCUGCCGCGAUUUCUGAUUCAGACGACUCUAGUGAUCUCGGUGACAAUAACAACAUCAACUCGCAUCAGUCACCGUCCCACUUCGUUUCAUCGCACUCCGGGGGUAACAACAAGCGCCGCCGUAGUACCGAAAGCAGCGAUGGUGGCGAUGGUGGUGUCGGCGAGCUAGCGAGAGCGAUCGAGGCAUUUGCAGAGAUGUACGAGCGCGUCGAGAGUGCCAAGCAGAAGCAGUCCCUGGAGAUGGAGCGAGAAAGGAUUGCCUUCAUGAAGCAGCUGGAGGUGAAGCGCAUGGAGAACUUCGUCGAUGCACAUGUGAAGCUCGCAAGAAUGAAGCAUGCCAAGAAGAACGAAGGUUAUGCAGCCAAUGGUACCAUUGGAGUCGAGUUGGCUUCCUCCAUGGCUGCGCUGCCUUUCCUCUCCAACCCUGCAUACCUCUAA